This 333-nucleotide ribosomal RNA is filed under the name Proteus mirabilis. RNAcentral's name for it is "partial 23S ribosomal RNA". It matches the Rfam family "Bacterial large subunit ribosomal RNA", at positions 505 to 667 of the family's 2925-position model. The record is from RNAcentral. Lineage: Bacteria; Pseudomonadati; Pseudomonadota; Gammaproteobacteria; Enterobacterales; Morganellaceae.
GAGGGAAAGGCGAAAAGAACCCCGGCGAGGGGAGUGAAAAAGAACCUGAAACCGUGUACGUACAAGCAGUAGGAGCCCCAUCACUCAAGUGCCUCGCACUGAGUGAUGCAAGAACAUCACCGAAAAUAGCGCCGAAUUUGCUAACAAGAUUGGUCGAUUUUUUCAAGCCGUCGCGCAGUGUACCUAGAAGUACACGAGCAACGGAAGUUAAAAAAUCGGGCAAGAUUGAACGCAAAGGCAAGCGGGACAUUUGAGGAUGGGGUGACUGCGUACCUUUUGUAUAAUGGGUCAGCGACUUAUAUUCUGUAGCGAGGUUAACCGUAUAGGGGAGCC